UACGUAGGGUGCAAGCGUUGUCCGGAAUUAUUGGGCGUAAAGAGCUCGUAGGCGGUUCGUCGCGUCGGCUGUGAAAAUCCCGGAGCUCAACUCCGGGUCUGCAGUCGAUACGGGCGGACUCGAGUUCGGCAGGGGAGACUGGAAUUCCUGGUGUAGCGGUGAAAUGCGCAGAUAUCAGGAGGAACACCGGUGGCGAAGGCGGGUCUCUGGGCCGAUACUGACGCUGAGGAGCGAAAGCGUGGGGAGCGAACAGGA
Molecule: ribosomal RNA, 255 nt
Filed under: uncultured bacterium
Lineage: Bacteria
Description: partial 16S ribosomal RNA
Rfam family: Bacterial small subunit ribosomal RNA
Source: RNAcentral